GAUACCCAACAGCUAGCCCCCUCCCCUAAUAACAACAUCCCCUCAUUAAUAACCCCAAACAAACUAACAAAUAUAAAACAAACCAUUUUUCCUCCUGAGUAUGGGCGACAGAAAAGGACCUACGGAGCAAUAGAAAAAGUACCGCAAGGGAACGCUGAAAGAGAGAUGAAACAGCUCAGUAAAGUUUAAAAAUGCAGAGACUCCCCCUCGUACCUUUUGCAUCAUGAUUUAGCCAGUGUCCCCCAAGCAAAAUGCAUUUUAGUUUGGCCCCCCGAAACUAAGUGAGCUACCCCAAGACAGCCUAAUCUAUAGGGCAAACCCGUCUCUGUGGCAAAAGAGUGGGACGAUCUUUGGGUAGAGGUGAUAAAUCUACCGAACUUAGUUAUAGCUGGUUGCCCGAGAAAUGAAUAGAAGUUCAGCCUCGACGCUUCUCCCCUCACUCAGAACCUUAUCUUAAUAGACAAGCCAGAGAAGCAGCGAGCGUUAGUCAAAGGAGGUACAGCUCCUUUGAAACAAGACACAACUUUUGAAGAAGGGUAAAGAUCAUA
Molecule: ribosomal RNA, 548 nt
Filed under: Prionotus evolans (striped searobin)
Lineage: Eukaryota; Metazoa; Chordata; Actinopteri; Perciformes; Triglidae
Description: partial 16S ribosomal RNA
Rfam family: Bacterial large subunit ribosomal RNA
Source: RNAcentral